GUGGGGAAUAUUGGACAAUGGGCGCAAGCCUGAUCCAGCCAUGCCGCGUGAGUGAUGAAGGCCUUAGGGUUGUAAAGCUCUUUCAGUAGGGAAGAUAAUGACGGUACCUACAGAAGAAGCCCCGGCUAACUUCGUGCCAGCAGCCGCGGUAAUACGAAGGGGGCUAGCGUUGUUCGGAUUUACUGGGCGUAAAGUGCACGUAGGCGGAUUGGUCAGUUAGAGGUGAAAUCCCGAAGCUCAACUUCGGAACUGCCUUUAAUACUGCCAGUCUCGAGUCCGGAAGAGGUGAGUGGAACUCCUAGUGUAGAGGUGGAAUUCGUAGAUAUUAGGAAGAACACCAGUGGCGAAGGCGGCUCACUGGUCCGGUACUGACGCUGAGGUGCGAAAGCGUGGGGAGCAAACAGGAUUAGAUACCCGAGUAGUCC
RNAcentral lists this ribosomal RNA (425 nucleotides) under uncultured bacterium. RNAcentral's name for it is "partial 16S ribosomal RNA". It matches the Rfam family "Bacterial small subunit ribosomal RNA", at positions 354 to 796 of the family's 1533-position model. The record is from RNAcentral.